UACGUAGGUGACAAGCGUUGUCCGGAUUUACUGGGCGUAAAGAGCGCGCAGGCGGUCGAUCAAGUCGAGUGUGAAAGCCCCCGGCUCAACUGGGGAGGGUCAUUCGAUACUGAUCGACUCGAAGGCAGGAGAGGGUAGUGGAAUUCCCGGUGUAGUGGUGAAAUGCGUAGAGAUCCGGAGGAACCCCAGAGGCGAAGGCGGCGCUCUGGCUCGCAACUGACGCUCAGACACGACAGCAUGGGGAGCGAACGGG
RNAcentral lists this ribosomal RNA (253 nucleotides) under uncultured bacterium. RNAcentral's name for it is "partial 16S ribosomal RNA". It matches the Rfam family "Bacterial small subunit ribosomal RNA", at positions 524 to 776 of the family's 1533-position model. The record is from RNAcentral.